GACGAACGCUGGCGGCGUGCUUAACACAUGCAAGUCGAACGCUGAAGACCUGGCUUUUGUUGGGUUGGAUGAGUGGCGAACGGGUGAGUAACACGUGAGUAACCUGCCCUCUUCUUUGGGAUAACGCCCGGAAACGGGUGCUAAUACUGGAUAUUCACUGAUCUUCGCAUGGGGGUUGGUGGAAAGGUUUGUUCUGGUGGGGGAUGGGCUCGCGGCCUAUCAGCUUGUUGGUGGGGUGAUGGCCUACCAAGGCUUUGACGGGUAGCCGGCCUGGGAGGGUGACCGGUCACAUUGGGGCUGAGAUACGGGCCAGACUCCUACGGGAGGCAGCAGUGGGGAAUAUUGCACAAUGGGCGAAAGCCUGAUGCAGCGACGCCGCGUGAGGGAUGGAGGCCUUCGGGUUGUAAACCUCUUUCGCUCAUGGUCAAGCCGCAACUGUGGGUUGUGGUGAGGGUAGUGGGUAAAGAAGCGCCGGCUAACUACGUG
RNAcentral lists this ribosomal RNA (486 nucleotides) under uncultured bacterium. RNAcentral's name for it is "partial 16S ribosomal RNA". It matches the Rfam family "Bacterial small subunit ribosomal RNA", at positions 28 to 507 of the family's 1533-position model. The record is from RNAcentral.